RNAcentral lists this ribosomal RNA (433 nucleotides) under uncultured bacterium. Its description in RNAcentral is "partial 16S ribosomal RNA". It matches the Rfam family "Bacterial small subunit ribosomal RNA", at positions 29 to 507 of the family's 1533-position model. The record is from RNAcentral.
AACGAACGCUGGCGGCAUGCCUAACACAUGCAAGUCGAACGAGACCUUCGGGUCUAGUGGCGCACGGGUGCGUAACGCGUGGGAACCUGCCCUUAGGUUCGGAAUAACUCCCCGAAAGGGGUGCUAAUACCGGAUAAUGUCUUCGGACCAAAGAUUUAUCGCCUUUGGAUGGGCCCGCGUUGGAUUAGCUAGUUGGUAGGGUAAAAGCCUACCAAGGCGACGAUCCAUAGCUGGUCUGAGAGGAUGAUCAGCCACACUGGGACUGAGACACGGCCCAGACUCCGACGGGAGGCAGCGGGGGGAAAUAUUGGACAAGGGGCGAAAGCCUAACCCAGCAAUGCCGGGUGAGUGAGGAAGGCUUUAGGGUUGAAAAGCUUUUUUCCCCGGGAUGAUAAUGACAGGCCGGGGAAAAAAGGCCCCGGCAAACCCCGUC